GAAACGCCUGAAGAUUAAAACGCCCCAAGAACCAGCUAUCAGGCUGGGCCUCUGACUCCCGCGCAAGGUCACCUCCUUGCUGAGGCAGAAAGGCGCCCCCACCGCGGCGGCAGCCUCCGUGUGGAGUCGCGGCUGCCCGAAGCCCUUCAACAGGACACAAAGCGACGUCCUGAAUGUUGGAAGGAAAACUACCGACAGGGAAGGCGACGCAUCGGAGGCUGCGCGCCAAGGGUCAUUGCCGGGUGGAAAUGAUCAAACGAGGAGAAGGAAGGAAAACUUGGCACCUGCCAAAGACGGCAACUCAAGCUCCCGUUCCCUUGUGAGUGAUUUGGUAGCUUGCAUAACGAAGCCACCACCAGGCAGAACCAUCCAGCUCAAGGCUCCGCGUUUGACCUUGGAUCUGCUCCGUGGUCCUGGAUUACAGGCUCUACAUGAGAAGGCACUUUGUAAUACUUCUGGAAUUGGCUUCAAGGUCGGGGUGCCCCGUGUUCAUUGUCAUUCUUUCGUUCGUAUGUUUUUUUGAGCGCCUAGGAUAGGCUAUGCACUUGGCUGUGGCUAAAUUUUGGGUGAAGAUUUAGAAGUUAGCUCUUUGGGCAGAGAUGAAAGGCAGGGCCCUGCAGUUAUGGACGCUCUGGCCCAGUUAAAAUUAAGGUGUCCGCGGGGUGUGCCUCCAGGGCAGGCUUGGGGAGAACCCUUUGUCUUGCCUUUUCCAGCCGCUAGAGGACGCUCCUGGGUCUCCCUCCAUCUUCAAAGGCAGGAGUGGCUGGUCCAAGCCUUUCCUCUGAUGCCAUUUCCCUGCAUCUGAUGCCUCUGCCUCUGCUUCCCUGACUAAAGACCCUGGUAAUUACACUGGGCCCUCCCUUAGGUCAAGGCCAUCUGCCUGGCAACCCUAAUUCUUCCCUGACACAAACCACAACAGACUCCCAGGCUCCGGAGACCAGGAAGUGGCACGUUUGGGGCCAUUAUGCUGCUUAAGGCAAUGCUAGAAUCAGUCACUUCCUGAAUUAUGCGAUGCCAGGGGUCUUCACAAAGAAAACAUUCAGUUGUUAAAAUUCACGUCUUUCGAAUCUGUUGUUGAGGGUUUAGAAUAAAAUUGUCUGGUUUCUAUUCCUAAAAAGAAGC
RNAcentral lists this long non-coding RNA (1122 nucleotides) under Sus scrofa (pig). RNAcentral's name for it is "lncRNA (ENSSSCG00070005934.1)". Lineage: Eukaryota; Metazoa; Chordata; Mammalia; Artiodactyla; Suidae. The record is from RNAcentral.